AGAAUCAACGCUGGCGGCGUGCCUAACACAUGCAAGUCGAACGCGAAAGCCCCGCAAGGGGUAAGUAGAGUGGCAAACGGGUGAGUAACACGUGGGUGAUCUGCCUCAGAGUGGGGGAUAACGACCCGAAAGGGUCGCUAAUACCGCAUAACAUCCUGCCUUUGGAUAGGUGGCGAUCAAAGUUGGGGAUCCGCAAGGACCUGACGCUUGGGAGAGGAGCCCGCGGCCGAUUAGCUAGUUGGUGAGGUAACGGCUCACCAAGGCAACGAUCGGUAUCCGGCCUGAGAGGGCGGACGGACACACUGGGACUGAGACACGGCCCAGACUCCUACGGGAGGCAGCAGUGGGGAAUUGUUCGCAAUGGGCGCAGCCUGACGACGCAACGCCGCGUGGAGGACGAAGAUUUCGGAUCGUAAACUCUUCGAUCGGAAGAACAGCUUUUGGUAAUAGCCUGAGAGUCUGACGGUACCGAGAGAAGAAGCCCGACUAACUCUGUCGCCAGC
This 503-nucleotide ribosomal RNA is filed under the name uncultured soil bacterium. RNAcentral describes it as "bacterial SSU rRNA". It matches the Rfam family "Bacterial small subunit ribosomal RNA", at positions 26 to 512 of the family's 1533-position model. The record is from RNAcentral.